Molecule: ribosomal RNA, 486 nt
Filed under: uncultured bacterium
Lineage: Bacteria
Description: partial 16S ribosomal RNA
Rfam family: Bacterial small subunit ribosomal RNA
Source: RNAcentral
GACGAACGCUGGCGGCGUGCUUAACACAUGCAAGUCGAACGGAAAGGCCCCCACCUUGGUGGGGGUGCUCGAGUGGCGAACGGGUGAGUAACACGUGGGUGAUCUGCCCUGUACUUCGGGAUAAGCUUGGGAAACUGGGUCUAAUACCGGAUAGGACCAUGGUUUAGUGUCUCAUGGUGGAAAAAUUAUUGUUUUGGUGCAGGAUGAGCUCGCGGCCUAUCAGCUUGUUGGUGGGGUAAUGGCCUACCAAGGCGUCGACGGGUAGCCGGCCUGAGAGGGUGGACGGCCACAUUGGGACUGAGAUACGGCCCAGACUCCUACGGGAGGCAGCAGUGGGGAAUAUUGCACAAUGGGCGCAAGCCUGAUGCAGCGACGCCGCGUGGGGGAUGACGGCCUUCGGGUUGUAAACUCCUUUCGUUAGGGACGAAGCCACACCUUUUUUGGGUGUGGUGACGGUACCUUUGUUAAGAAGCACCGGCUAACUAC